This 606-nucleotide ribosomal RNA is filed under the name Triticum aestivum (bread wheat). RNAcentral's name for it is "partial small subunit ribosomal RNA". The record is from RNAcentral. Lineage: Eukaryota; Viridiplantae; Streptophyta; Magnoliopsida; Poales; Poaceae.
AUGGUUGCGUUAUCCAACUGUUAUAUUGGCACAUAUCAUGUCUCCGCCACUGUCACGACCCCCGCGGGCAGCGACCCGUGGUGGAUCACGGGCGUUUACGGCCCUCAAGACGACGCCAACAAGCUUGAGUUCCUUGCCGAGCUGCAUGACCUCCACUCGUCCUUCUCAGGGCCUUGGAUUAUCGGAGGCGACUUUAACAUGAUAAUCUCAAUGGCGGACAAGAGCAAUAAUCGCGUGAAUCGCGGCAUGAUGAAUCGCUUCCGCCGCCUUAUUUCCGAUCUUGCCCUACGAGACAUCUACCUCCUUGGGAGGCGGUACACCUGGUCCAACAAGCAGGUGAAUCCCACGCUCGUCCGGAACGACAGAAUCCUCUCCACUCCGUCCUGGGAGUUGCUCUACCCGCGUUGCAUCUUGCGCUGCCUGGCCUCGACGGUCUCAGACCACAACCCGCUCCUUCUCGACUGCUCGCCUCACACCCCGACCAAACGUCGGUUCGACUUUGAGCGUUUUUGGAUCAAUCUGGACGGGUUUCAUCAAGUCGUUGAGGAGGCAUGGCACUCGGUAGCUCCGGACCCCGCCCCAUCAGAACAAUCUACCAGCGCCUAA